Long non-coding RNA from Papaver somniferum (opium poppy), 1428 nucleotides. RefSeq lists it as uncharacterized. The record is from RefSeq and is a predicted model, not a curated record. NCBI's taxonomy places the organism in Eukaryota, Viridiplantae, Streptophyta, Magnoliopsida, Ranunculales, Papaveraceae. The transcript has 9 exons.
UAUUCUCGUUUUUUACUCUCUCUCUCUCUAGUUUUUUCAGACAUACUCUCGGCUCAGAGAACCGAAACCCUCGAUACCAAAACCUUUCUCUAUGAAUCAAAACCCUUCUCUCACAAUCAAAUCUAAAAGCUCUUUAGCUUUCCUAACCAAAUCAAAAUCUGAGUUUCAGUAAUCAAAACUUAGAAUCUCUAUUCUCGAGAACCUUAAAAAAUUCCUAAACCUAGAAUCCAAAAUCAAUUUUGUUCCGGAAAUCUGAAAUCAGUUCAUCUGAUAGUUGAUUAUCAUCAGUGCCAGGUGAUCUACUACAGCUGAGAACGGAACAGGGGAAGACGAGUACUAUGUCUGGCACGAGUUUUGUAGAGUAACAUUGUGGUUCUAAGGACUUGAAAGGUCGGGUAAUCUGUUCAGCUUUUGAUCAGCUGUUGUUGUAUAAGAUUGUAUGUUCAUAUUCUUACUGGCUUAUUAUUGGCUGCUUAUAACUUAGGUAUCGACGUAUCGUGCACGAAACCUGUUCAUCGCAGAGAGGGUUUGCUCUUGUUUGUGCUUCUAUUAUUCUGCACUUUCUGCCUCUCUCGUAUUGCCAGUAGUUUAGUUUGCUCUGAGUUUGCUUAUAAUUGAGUAAAAUUCUUGUGCAUUCAGUUUUCUUAGGAAUCAGUUUGCUGGUCAUUUCAUAAGAAUGAUUAUUUCUGUUUCGUUGUGAAUCAUAGGCUAGAAAUAGAGCAUCAAUCUUAUAAUCUAGCCUGUCUUCAUUAUUGUAGAAUGUCCCAAGCAGCAGUUCUUUGGGAUGCCCCUCAAGGAGAUAAUUAUUUCUUCUUAAAACAGCUACCACUGCCUACUUGGGUAAAAUGGAGCGAGGAUAUGGAGUUUCUCUUUUCUUUUUCAGAUAAGGGGUUUCCUUUGCACCAUUCAGUUACUUGUGGAGUAUUGAAGAGUUGCUGUUCAAUUUCAUGCUAACUGGCUGGUGUUCCCAUCUUAUUUGUUUUUGAAAGAAUGUUCACCUUGAAGGUCAGCCAAGGCCCAGGCAGGAUGAGGACAUCAUAAUGACCAGCACCAGAGCAGCAUUUUGAAUAUCAUGUCCAUAAAAUGGAAAGGUUAUUACUGAAGUACAAGAUCCUGUGAAGAGGGUAAUCAGUAUGAAAACUUGCAUAAAUCAUGCCAAUGAGUAUUGAAGCAACAUCCAACUACACUUGAUCAGUCAUUCCUAUCUGAUUUUAUUUCUGAAUCGAUUAUCGUAGUUGAUUAACUGCCUCAAACUACACUGAAUUUGCUCGAUGCUAUCAGAAUCUCAAGGACCAAGACGUGCUCAGUCGAUGAUGCGAUGCCCAGACAUUAUGGGAAGCAAUUGCAGGUCAUGUUUCCAUAUAAGGCUUCAACUUAAAUUUUAGACAAACAUUGUUUACGAUGAUAUUGAUUUUAAUGCUCUUCCUC